This is a long non-coding RNA of Lontra canadensis (Northern American river otter), 135 nucleotides long. RefSeq lists it as uncharacterized. NCBI's taxonomy places the organism in Eukaryota, Metazoa, Chordata, Mammalia, Carnivora, Mustelidae. The record is from RefSeq and is a predicted model, not a curated record. The transcript is spliced from 3 exons.
UUUGAUCCAGCCAGGGAGUAAGUUCACUAUGCUGCCAGGACUCCCAUCAAUGAGAGUACCCUGAGCUAUUUUUGGUUGAGCAGGUACUACAAGGCCAGUCAUUUGUACUUCUUUUUCUUAACUUUCUGUCCUUUA